Molecule: ribosomal RNA, 253 nt
Filed under: uncultured bacterium
Lineage: Bacteria
Description: partial 16S ribosomal RNA
Rfam family: Bacterial small subunit ribosomal RNA
Source: RNAcentral
UACGUAGGGGGCAAGCGUUGUCCGGAUUUAUUGGGCGUAAAGAGCGUGUAGGCGGCCAAGUAAGUCUGCUGUGAAAACUCGAGGCUUAACCUCGAGAUGUCGGCGGAAACUAUUUGGCUAGAGUCCGGAAGAGGAGAAUGGAAUUCCCGGUGUAGCGGUGAAAUGCGCAGAUAUCGGGAAGAACACCCGUGGCGAAGGCGGUUCUCUGGGACGGUACUGACGCUGAGACGCGAAAGCGUGGGGAGCGAACAGG